AUGCCAAGCCUGAAGCAGUACAAUUCCUUAGUUUUUGCCAUUGACAGGCAGCUGUUUGACCACCUCUCAGCAACAAAGAUGAAGAUCGGCAAGGCCCCAGCGCUCCUGAAGAAGGCAGCAGCUAUGUGCAAGAGCAAGACCAGCGUCUACACGGCCAGGCUUCUCGUCCUCGUCUCGCUUCGUCGCAGGAUGGCCACGGUCGGCACCAUUUCUCAAAGGAUCCAUGCCCUCACUGUGUCCAACCGGGAGAAGGAUGCCAAAGUGAACUACCACAAGGCUCUCAUGCUCCGCAAGGCCGAGAAGCCGACGUACCAUGGUGGCGAGAUGGCUAAUCCGUCCCACCAUUUAGUAUUUUUUGAUCAAGAGGUUGCUGCUGGUGGCUGCCCUGACUGGACACUGCACCCCAUUGUCAGCAAUGGCGAUGAUUUCAGUUACACUGACGAGUAUGGCGAUGAUCGAGAUGAGCCCUCGGUGAUGAAUUCAAUGAGGAGCAACCAGGAGGCUGAGGGUUUGGGAAUCAACGUGCAUGACGAUAUCGACCUGGCUGCCGAAAUGUUCAUCAGAAAGUUUCGUGAGCAGAUGAACGAGAGAUUUUCAUGA
Molecule: ribosomal RNA, 600 nt
Filed under: Triticum aestivum (bread wheat)
Lineage: Eukaryota; Viridiplantae; Streptophyta; Magnoliopsida; Poales; Poaceae
Description: partial small subunit ribosomal RNA
Source: RNAcentral